RNAcentral lists this transfer RNA (72 nucleotides) under Bos taurus (domestic cattle). It matches the Rfam family "tRNA". From Rfam's summary of the family: Transfer RNA (tRNA) molecules are approximately 80 nucleotides in length. RNAcentral also lists the same sequence under 6 other names. Lineage: Eukaryota; Metazoa; Chordata; Mammalia; Artiodactyla; Bovidae. The record is from Rfam by way of RNAcentral.
UCCCUGGUGGCUCAGAUGGUAAAGCAUCUGCCUGCAAUGCAGGAGACCUGGGUUUGAUCCCUGAGUUGGGAA